RNAcentral lists this long non-coding RNA (543 nucleotides) under Gouania willdenowi (blunt-snouted clingfish). Its description in RNAcentral is "lncRNA (ENSGWIG00000006209.1)". Lineage: Eukaryota; Metazoa; Chordata; Actinopteri; Blenniiformes; Gobiesocidae. The record is from RNAcentral.
CUGGCUGGAUGAGUUUAGCCUUUGGUUACAUUCACGCCAAGGCUUGUGUUUAUAAUAUCACCCUUUUGUAAAUAGUUAAUUUAGGUGAUUAAUCACAGCUGGCCUUUGCAUCUUUUUAGAUUGUAGAUUUAAUUUUUUGUUUCUUUAUGACGGGCCACAGUGGGCGUGAUUCUCCCGUCACUCUCGUAAACAGGUAUGUAUGUUUAGGUAUAGUUAGGUUUUUAAGAGUUUAGAGAUUACGUUUUUAUUCCCAGCAUGUUUGAGACACAAGAGGCAUCAGCAGAGGAUGAAGACUUCUAUCAAUCAAAACUAUUGUCCCACAAUCAGCCCCAGGAGGAGACGCCAGCAGAGGAAAGAAACAAUAUUAACCAAAACAAUAUUUCACUGAUUGAGAACAAGGAAGAUGGAAGAGUACCAUCAUCUACCAAUGGAGGAGGAGGAGGAGAAAAAUGCGGGAGCACCAGCAUCCAAAAGUGUCCCACAAUCAGCCCCAGGAGGAGAUAUCAGCAGAGGAAAGAAACAAUAUUAACCAAAACAAUGUAA